UACGUAGGUCCCGAGCGUUGUCCGGAUUUAUUGGGCGUAAAGCGAGCGCAGGUGGUUUAUUAAGUCUGGUGUAAAAGGCAGUGGCUCAACCAUUGUAUGCAUUGGAAACUGGUAGACUUGAGUGCAGGAGAGGAGAGUGGAAUUCCAUGUGUAGCGGUGAAAUGCGUAGAUAUAUGGAGGAACACCGGUGGCGAAAGCGGCUCUCUGCCUGUAACUGACACUGAGGCUCGAAAGCGUGGGGAGCAAACAGG
This 251-nucleotide ribosomal RNA is filed under the name uncultured bacterium. RNAcentral describes it as "partial 16S ribosomal RNA". It matches the Rfam family "Bacterial small subunit ribosomal RNA", at positions 524 to 776 of the family's 1533-position model. The record is from RNAcentral.